Schizosaccharomyces pombe (fission yeast) is the source of this 517-nucleotide non-coding RNA. The record is from the annotation of a GenBank genome assembly. NCBI's taxonomy places the organism in Eukaryota, Fungi, Ascomycota, Schizosaccharomycetes, Schizosaccharomycetales, Schizosaccharomycetaceae.
UUUUAAUGCUAAAAGGACCAACAAAGUAAACAAUGCCGGAAUACAAAAAGAUUAGUAGCCUUUAGAAGAGACCGUUUCAACGAGGUGGUGUUGGUAAAGGAUAAGACAUGCCCAUAGAGCCUCAAUGUGUAUCAUCGAAAAUGUCUGAGAGUUAGCGGUUAGACAAAAGGGCAUUUGUCUGAAAGAAAAUUUUUUAAUGAACCAAGUAGCUUAUACAUUUUGAAAGUAACUAAAUACCUUAUAAAUCUAUUGGGUAUAGCAACGUUGUCGUAAAUGGAUAUAUUGAUUGUAGCAUUAUGAAAACACUCAAAAUUAAUUCAUUUUUAUGUUUAUUUAUUAAAAAAAUGAUCAAUAUACUCAAUCCAACCAAAAAUGUGUUUUCGCUUUCAUUAUUUUUGUAUUGUUUCUGAAGUAAACAACAAUUCAAAGUUCACGGGCUAUAGAAGGAAAAUAAUUUUUUACCUAGGUGACUAUUUCUCAGUAUAAGUUAGUUUAUUAGAGACAAAUACUUUAGAUG